UUAAGCGACUAAGCGUACACGGUGGAUGCCCUGGCAGUCAGAGGCGAUGAAGGACGUGCUAAUCUGCGAAAAGCGUCGGUAAGGUGAUAUGAACCGUUAUAGCCGGCGAUGUCCGAAUGGGGAAACCCAGUGCAAUUCGUUGCACUAUCGUUUGAUGAAUACAUAGUCAAACGAGGCGAACCGGGGGAACUGAAACAUCUAAGUACCCCGAGGAAAAGAAAUCAACCGAGAUUCCCCCAGUAGCGGCGAGCGAACGGGGAGCAGCCCGGAGUCUGAAUCAGCUUGUGUGUUAGUGGAAGCGUCUGGAAAGUCGCAGGGUACAGGGUGAUACUCCCGUACACUAAAACGCACAGGCUGUGAACUCGAAGAGUAGGGCGGGACACGUGGUAUCCUGUCUGAAUAUGGGGGGACCAUCCUCCAAGGCUAAAUACUCCUGACUGACCGAUAGUGAACCAGUACCGUGAGGGAAAGGCGAAAAGAACCCCGGCGAGGGGAGUGAAAAAGAACCUGAAACCGUGUACGUACAAGCAGUAGGAGCCUCUUUAUGGGGUGACUGCGUACCUUUUGUAUAAUGGGUCAGCGACUUAUAUUCUGUAGCAAGGUUAAACCGUAUAGGGGAGCCGCAGGGAAACCGAGUCUUAACUGGGCGUUAAGUUGCAGGGUAUAGACCCGAAACCCGGUGAUCUAGCCAUGGGCAGGUUGAAGGUUGGGUAACACUAACUGGAGGACCGAACCGACUAAUGUUGAAAAAUUAGCGGAUGACUUGUGGCUGGGGGUGAAAGGCCAAUCAAACCGGGAGAUAGCUGGUUCUCCCCGAAAGCUAUUUAGGUAGCGCCUCGUGAACUCAUCUUCGGGGUAGAGCACUGUUUCGGCUAGGGGGUCAUCCCGACUUACCAACCCGAUGCAAACUACGAAUACCGAAGAAUGUUAUCACGGGAGACACACGGCGGGUGCUAACGUCCGUCGUGAAGAGGGAAACAACCCAGACCGCCAGCUAAGGUCCCAAAGUCAUGGUUAAGUGGGAAACGAUGUGGGAAGGCCCAGACAGCCAGGAUGUUGGCUUAGAAGCAGCCAUCAUUUAAAGAAAGCGUAAUAGCUCACUGGUCGAGUCGGCCUGCGCGGAAGAUGUAACGGGGCUAAACCAUGCACCGAAGCUGCGGCAGCGACACUAUGUGUUGUUGGGUAGGGGAGCGUUCUGUAAGCCGUUGAAGGUGGCCUGUGAGGGUUGCUGGAGGUAUCAGAAGUGCGAAUGCUGACAUAAGUAACGAUAAUGCGGGUGAAAAACCCGCACGCCGGAAGACCAAGGGUUCCUGUCCAACGUUAAUCGGGGCAGGGUGAGUCGACCCCUAAGGCGAGGCCGAAAGGCGUAGUCGAUGGGAAACAGGUUAAUAUUCCUGUACUCGGUGUUACUGCGAAGGGGGGACGGAGAAGGCUAUGUUGGCCGGGCGACGGUUGUCCCGGUUUAAGCAUGUAGGCGGAUGUUCCAGGUAAAUCCGGAACGUUACUAACGCUGAGGUGUGAUGACGAGGCACUACGGUGCUGAAGUGACAAAUGCCCUGCUUCCAGGAAAAGCCUCUAAGCAUCAGGUAACAUCAAAUCGUACCCCAAACCGACACAGGUGGUCAGGUAGAGAAUACCAAGGCGCUUGAGAGAACUCGGGUGAAGGAACUAGGCAAAAUGGUGCCGUAACUUCGGGAGAAGGCACGCUGAUAUGUAGGUGAAGUGGUUUACCCAUGGAGCUGAAAUCAGUCGAAGAUACCAGCUGGCUGCAACUGUUUAUUAAAAACACAGCACUGUGCAAACACGAAAGUGGACGUAUACGGUGUGACGCCUGCCCGGUGCCGGAAGGUUAAUUGAUGGGGUUAUCCGUAAGGAGAAGCUCUUGAUCGAAGCCCCGGUAAACGGCGGCCGUAACUAUAACGGUCCUAAGGUAGCGAAAUUCCUUGUCGGGUAAGUUCCGACCUGCACGAAUGGCGUAAUGAUGGCCAGGCUGUCUCCACCCGAGACUCAGUGAAAUUGAACUCGCUGUGAAGAUGCAGUGUACCCGCGGCAAGACGGAAAGACCCCGUGAACCUUUACUAUAGCUUGACACUGAACACUGGUCCUUGAUGUGUAGGAUAGGUGGGAGGCUUUGAAGUGUGGACGCCAGUCUGCAUGGAGCCAUCCUUGAAAUACCACCCUUUAAUGGCUGGUGUUCUAACGUGGGCCCGUUAUCCGGGUUGCGGACAGUGUCUGGUGGGUAGUUUGACUGGGGCGGUCUCCUCCUAAAGAGUAACGGAGGAGCACGAAGGUCAGCUAAUCCUGGUCGGACAUCAGGAGGUUAGUGCAAUGGCAUAAGCUGGCUUGACUGCGAGCGUGACGGCGCGAGCAGGUGCGAAAGCAGGUCAUAGUGAUCCGGUGGUUCUGAAUGGAAGGGCCAUCGCUCAACGGAUAAAAGGUACUCCGGGGAUAACAGGCUGAUACCGCCCAAGAGUUCAUAUCGACGGCGGUGUUUGGCACCUCGAUGUCGGCUCAUCACAUCCUGGGGCUGAAGUAGGUCCCAAGGGUAUGGCUGUUCGCCAUUUAAAGUGGUACGCGAGCUGGGUUUAGAACGUCGUGAGACAGUUCGGUCCCUAUCUGCCGUGGGCGCUGGAGAAUUGAGGGGGGCUGCUCCUAGUACGAGAGGACCGGAGUGGACGCAUCACUGGUGUUCGGGUUGUCAUGCCAAUGGCAUUGCCCGGUAGCUAAAUGCGGAAGAGAUAAGUGCUGAAAGCAUCUAAGCACGAAACUUGCCCCGAGAUGAGUUCUCCCUGACUCCUUGAGAGUCCUGAAGGAACGUUGAAGACGACGACGUUGAUAGGCCGGGUGUGUAAGCGCAGCGAUGCGUUGAGCUAACCGGUACUAAUGAACCGUGAGGCUUAACCUU
This 2905-nucleotide ribosomal RNA is filed under the name Klebsiella oxytoca. RNAcentral's name for it is "bacterial LSU rRNA". It matches the Rfam family "Bacterial large subunit ribosomal RNA". The record is from RNAcentral. RNAcentral also lists the same sequence under 1 other name. Lineage: Bacteria; Pseudomonadati; Pseudomonadota; Gammaproteobacteria; Enterobacterales; Enterobacteriaceae.